GACGAACGCUGGCGGCGUGCUUCAUACAUGCAAGUCGAACGAGAAGCUGACUUCGGUCAGUGGAAAGUGGCGGACGGGUGAGUAAUAUGUAGGAAAUCUGCCUUUAGGAGGGGGACAACAGAGGGAAACUUCUGCUAAUACCCCAUAUGAGCGUAGCUGAAAUGCUAUUCUUGAAAACUCCGGUGCCUAAAGAUGAGCCUGCAUCUGAUUAGCUAGUUGGUAGUGUAAUGGACUACCAAGGCGACGAUCAGUAGCUGGUUUGAGAGGAUGAUCAGCCACAAUGGGACUGAGACACGGCCCAUACUCCUACGGGAGGCAGCAGUAGGGAAUUUUGCGCAAUGGGCGAAAGCCUGACGCAGCAAUGCCGCGUGAACGAUUAAGCCCUUCGGGGUGUAAAGUUCUGUCAGUGGGGACGAAACUUGACGGUACCCACAGAGGAAGCACCGGCUAACUCCGUG
RNAcentral lists this ribosomal RNA (458 nucleotides) under uncultured bacterium. Its description in RNAcentral is "partial 16S ribosomal RNA". It matches the Rfam family "Bacterial small subunit ribosomal RNA", at positions 28 to 507 of the family's 1533-position model. The record is from RNAcentral.